RNAcentral lists this ribosomal RNA (466 nucleotides) under Vreelandella stevensii. RNAcentral's name for it is "partial 16S ribosomal RNA". It matches the Rfam family "Bacterial small subunit ribosomal RNA", at positions 338 to 795 of the family's 1533-position model. Lineage: Bacteria; Pseudomonadati; Pseudomonadota; Gammaproteobacteria; Oceanospirillales; Halomonadaceae. The record is from RNAcentral.
CCUACGGGGUGCUGCAGUGGGGAAUAUUGGACAAUGGGCGAAAGCCUGAUCCAGCCAUGCCGCGUGUGUGAAGAAGGCCUUCGGGUUGUAAAGCACUUUCAGUGGGGAAGAAAGCCUUGGGGCUAAUACCCUCGAGGAAGGACAUCACCCACAGAAGAAGCACCGGCUAACUCCGUGCCAGCAGCCGCGGUAAUACGGAGGGUGCGAGCGUUAAUCGGAAUUACUGGGCGUAAAGCGCGCGUAGGCGGUCUGAUAAGCCGGUUGUGAAAGCCCCGGGCUCAACCUGGGAACGGCAUCCGGAACUGUCAGGCUAGAGUGCAGGGGAGGAAGGUAGAAUUCCCGGUGUAGCGGUGAAAUGCGUAGAGAUCGGGAGGAAUACCAGUGGCGAAGGCGGCCUUCUGGACUGACACUGACGCUGAGGUGCGAAAGCGUGGGUAGCAAACAGGAUUAGAUACCCCGAGUAGUC